CCUUCGGGAUUAGUGGCGGACGGGUGAGUAACACGGGGGAACGUGCCCUUUGGUUCGGAACAACUCAGGGAAACUUGAGCUAAUACCGGAUGUGCCCUUCGGGGGAAAGAUUUAUCGCCAUUGGAGCGGCCCGCGUCUGAUUAGCUAGUUGGUGAGGUAAAGGCUCACCAAGGCGACGAUCAGUAGCUGGUCUGAGAGGAUGAUCAGCCACAUUGGGACUGAGACACGGCCCAAACUCCUACGGGAGGCAGCAGUGGGGAAUCUUGCGCAAUGGGCGAAAGCCUGACGCAGCCAUGCCGCGUGAAUGAUGAAGGUCUUAGGAUUGUAAAAUUCUUUCACCGGGGACGAUAAUGACGGUACCCGGAGAAGAAGCCCCGGCUAACUUCGUGCCAGCAGCCGCGGUAAUACGAAGGGGGCUAGCGUUGCUCGGAAUUACUGGGCGUAAAGGGAGCGUAGGCGGACUGUUUAGUCAGAGGUGAAAGCCCAGGGCUCAACCUUGGAAUUGCCUUUGAUACUGGCAGUCUUGAGUACGGAAGAGGUAUGUGGAACUCCGAGUGUAGAGGUGAAAUUCGUAGAUAUUCGGAAGAACACCAGUGGCGAAGGCGACAUACUGGUCCGUUACUGACGCUGAGGCUCGAAAGCGUGGGGAGCAAACAGGAUUAGAUACCCUGGUAGUCCACGCCGUAAACGAUGAGUGCUAGUUGUCGGCAUGCAUGCAUGUCGGUGACACAGCUAACGCAUUAAGCACUCCGCCUGGGGAGUACGGUCGCAAGAUUAAAACUCACAUGAAUUGACGG
Molecule: ribosomal RNA, 797 nt
Filed under: uncultured Caulobacter sp.
Lineage: Bacteria; Pseudomonadati; Pseudomonadota; Alphaproteobacteria; Caulobacterales; Caulobacteraceae
Description: bacterial SSU rRNA
Rfam family: Bacterial small subunit ribosomal RNA
Source: RNAcentral